Long non-coding RNA from Gallus gallus (chicken), 1062 nucleotides. The record is from Ensembl. NCBI's taxonomy places the organism in Eukaryota, Metazoa, Chordata, Aves, Galliformes, Phasianidae.
GCAGCAGCCUUGCUCACAGCUGGGAGGUAAGUAGCAAAGUCACCAGAGGGAAAGUCUCCUCUGGGGAAGAAGAGCAUCUUUUCCACUAAGGAGCUUGCCCGCGUUCCUUUAUUGGAGUCUCCCUGGAAGAACUACCAUGCUAUUUUGGAGUGGCUGCUAGGACUGUACAUUCCUAGUGAUGCUAUCUGCAGGAGGACGGCACUGAAACAAGAAGCUGGUGUCCUUUUAUGUUUCAGAAAAUGUGCCUAUACUUGGAAAAAAUAAAAAGAAUGUUUUAAUGUUUAUAAUCUUAAUUCAGGUGUCCAGAGACAAAUCUAAUUUAAGGGACUUAUGUUCUGGGGUAUGCCGAGAUACAAGCAGCCACAUGGUAACAGUCAAAGAGGAUGUGUCUAGGCCCUCUUACAUCUCCGGAGUUAGAAGGUCACAAUCAUAGCUGGUUUCUGCUUUUUUUUGGAUCUACGGUUAAGCUGCAUUUGAGAAAACUACUGCAACCGUGACAGUUUUGCAUGUGGAUGAUUUGCUUUUGUGCUCUUGCAGCACAGGCUCUCAUCAGUAGAUUACUGGGCAUCAUUUCCAUCCCAAGCCAUAUGAGGUUGUUGUGCAUGAUGAACGUGAAACAUUUACCUGUAAUUUGAAGGGUAAUUUCAACUAUUUUUUUCAACCAAAGCAAUAAAUAAGCAUGUGGUUUCUCCAUAUCUCUCUGUGUCUACAUCUAUAAGAUUUUAAUGUUUAGGUUUCGGUCUAUAUUUUAUAUAGAAUGUCUGUAUUUUCUAUAUUAUGUCUAUAUUUUAUAUAGAAUGCACAAAAUCAUAAGAAACAUAUGUCUUAUAUAGAAUUAUUAUUGUUUAUUAUCCUUUUAAUAAUCGUUGUCAACUAUGUAAGGACAGAGCCUUAGGGAGAACAUUUUCUAUGAUAUAUCCAGUUGCUGCCACUCUGUCACAUUCUUUCUUUUGCUACACACACCACAGCUGUUGUUUGUGUGACACCAUAUCUGUUACCACUGUUUCUACCACAGAGCUAGAAAAAACAGCAGUAGUUGACUUAAAUUUGUAGGUUGUCAAA